GGCCUUAUACAUGCAAGUCGAGCGCAUCCUUUGGGAUGAGCGGCGGACGGGUGAGUACAGGAAUGUGCCCUUCUCUACGGAAUAGCCACUGGAAACGGUGAGUAAUACCGUAUACGCCCUCAGGGGGGAAAGAUUUAUCGGAGAAGGAUCAGCCCGCGUUAGAUUAGGUAGUUGGUGGGGUAACGGCCUACCAAGCCUACGAUCUAUAGCUGGUUUUAGAGGAUGAUCAGCCACACUGGGACUGAGACACGGCCCAGACUCCUACGGGAGGCAGCAGUAGGGAAUCUUGGACAAUGGGGGCAACCCUGAUCCAGCCAUGCCGCGUGAGUGAAGAAGGCCCUAGGGUCGUAAAGCUCUUUCGCCUGUGAUGAUAAUGACAGUAGCAGGUAAAGAAACCCCGGCUAAACUCCGUGCCAGCAGCCGCGGUAAUACGGAGGGGGUUAGCGUUCUGUUCGGAAUUACUGGGCGUAAAGCGCGCGUAGGCGGAUUGGAAAGUUGGGGGUGAAAUCCCGAGGCUCAACCUCGGAACUGCCUUCAAAACUCCCAGUUCUAGAGUUCGAGAGAGGUGAGGUGGAAUUCCGAGUGUACAGGUGAAAUUCGUAGAUCUUCGGCAGAACACCAGUUGGCGCAAGGGCGGGCUCACUGGCUCGAUACUGACGCCUUAAGGGUGCCGAAAAGUGUGGGGAGCAAACACGGGAUUUAGAAUACCCUGGUACGUCCAAACCGUAACGAUGAAUGGCAACUACGGACGGGAAUAUAUAACCAUUCCGGUGAACACACCUCUACGGGAUUCCUCGCAUGUGGAGUACG
RNAcentral lists this ribosomal RNA (810 nucleotides) under uncultured Alphaproteobacteria bacterium. Its description in RNAcentral is "bacterial SSU rRNA". It matches the Rfam family "Bacterial small subunit ribosomal RNA". Lineage: Bacteria; Pseudomonadati; Pseudomonadota; Alphaproteobacteria. The record is from RNAcentral.